RNAcentral lists this ribosomal RNA (429 nucleotides) under Bacteroidota bacterium. RNAcentral's name for it is "Bacteroidetes bacterium partial 16S ribosomal RNA". It matches the Rfam family "Bacterial small subunit ribosomal RNA", at positions 355 to 776 of the family's 1533-position model. Lineage: Bacteria; Pseudomonadati; Bacteroidota. The record is from RNAcentral.
UAGGGAAUCUUCCGCAAUGGACGCAAGUCUGACGGAGCAACGCCGCGUGAGUGAAGAAGGAUUUCGGUUCGUAAAACUCUGUUGUUAGAGAAGAACAGCGCAUAGAGUAACUGUUAUGCGUGUGACGGUAUCUAACCAGAAAGCCACGGCUAACUACGUGCCAGCAGCCGCGGUAAUACGUAGGUGGCAAGCGUUGUCCGGAUUUAUUGGGCGUAAAGCGAGCGCAGGCGGUCAAUUAAGUCUGAUGUGAAAGCCCCCGGUUCAACCGGGGAGGGUCAUUGGAAACUGGUUGACUUGAGUGCAGAAGAGGAGAGUGGAAUUCCAUGUGUAGCGGUGAAAUGCGUAGAUAUAUGGAGGAACACCAGUGGCGAAGGCGACUCUCUGGUCUGUAACUGACGCUGAGGCUCGAAAGCGUGGGUAGCAAACAGG